Molecule: long non-coding RNA, 264 nt
Filed under: Nicotiana benthamiana
Lineage: Eukaryota; Viridiplantae; Streptophyta; Magnoliopsida; Solanales; Solanaceae
Description: long non-coding RNA (NBEN_LNC013737)
Source: RNAcentral
CUGCCGGGAAAACACUGUAGCUGCCGGAAAAAUUCAAAGUUGUCGGAAUUGAAAAGUAAAAAAUAUGGAUAGGCUCGGAAUUCAAGGGUGAGCAAACUGUCCUGAAGAAAUUCUAGCCGGAAAGUACUGUAGCUGCCGGAAAAGUCACUGUAGGUCGUCGGAAAAAAUCAAAGUUGUCGGAAUCGAACAAAAAGUGGAUGGGUAGGGUCGGAAUUGUAUUCCGAGCAAUCUGUUCUGAAGGAGCGAAGCCAAAAAANNNNNNNN